CUGGUGUGAAGGAGGUCUUGUGUUUGAAUCUUGGCGUGGGUAUUAUUUUUGCUCGUGCGUCCAGGAGAGUUUGAGAUGGACUAAAAAUCUGAGUAGUGGAUUUAGUGGGGAGUUUGAUGGAGAGAAAUAAGGGAUUGGGGUGGUUAUCAAAUAUUUUGUUCAUUUUUUUUAUUUUUUCCUUUUUUUACUUUUCCCCAAAUCGCUCCACCCUCUUACCGUUUUUCUCUUCAUUGUUGUCGAAUUUCUGCUCUCUUUCACCCUUCAUCUUCUUGAUUUUUCUUUUACCACUCUGCCUCGUGUCUG
This 303-nucleotide long non-coding RNA is filed under the name Gossypium raimondii (Peruvian cotton). Its description in RNAcentral is "long non-coding RNA (GRAI_LNC009886)". The record is from RNAcentral. Lineage: Eukaryota; Viridiplantae; Streptophyta; Magnoliopsida; Malvales; Malvaceae.